GAUGAAGAACGUAGCGAAAUGCGAUAAGUAAUGUGAAUUGCAGAAUUCAGUGAAUCAUCGAAUCUUCGAACGCACAUUGCGCCCGCCAGUAUUCUGGCGGGCAUGCCUGUUCGAGCGUCAUUUCAACCAUCAAGCCCCCGGCUUGUGUUGGGGACCUGCGGCUGCCGCAGGCCCUGAAAAGCAGUGGCGGGCUCGCUGUCACACCGAGCGUAGUAGCAUACAUCUCGCUCUGGGCGUGCUGCGGGUUCCGGCCGUUAAACCACCUUCAUAACCCAAGGUUGACCUCGGAUCAGGUAGGAAGACCCGCUGAACUUAAGCAUAUCAAUAAGCGGAGGA
This 336-nucleotide unclassified non-coding RNA is filed under the name soil metagenome. Its description in RNAcentral is "partial contains 5.8S ribosomal RNA, internal transcribed spacer 2, and large subunit ribosomal RNA". The stretch from base 1 to 120 matches the Rfam family "5.8S ribosomal RNA", at positions 35 to 154 of the family's 154-position model. The record is from RNAcentral.